Molecule: ribosomal RNA, 1056 nt
Filed under: Bacteroidota bacterium
Lineage: Bacteria; Pseudomonadati; Bacteroidota
Description: bacterial LSU rRNA
Rfam family: Bacterial large subunit ribosomal RNA
Source: RNAcentral
AGACGGCGGGUGCGAAUAUCCGUCGUCGAGAGGGAAACAACCCAGACCGCCAGCUAAGGCCCCCAAGUCAUCGCUCAGUGGGAAAGGUUGUGGCGCCGCCCAGACAACCAGGAGGUUGGCUUAGAAGCAGCCACCCUUGAAAGAGUGCGUAACAGCUCACUGGUCGAGUGCCGCUGCGCCGAUAAUCCAUCGGGGCAAAGUCAGGUGCCGAAGCGCCGGGUGGCUCGGGAAACCGAGCCGCGGUAGGGGAGCGUCGUGGUUGCUGGUGAAGCACGACCGUAAGGCCGUGUGGAGGCCCCACGAGUGCGAAUGCCGGAACGAGUAACAGAGAAGUGGGGUGCGAACCCCCACCACCGCAAGCCCAAGGGUUCCGCCGCACGGGUGAUCCGCGGCGGGUUAGUCGGGCCUAAGGCUGCCCCUGACAGGCGCAGACCGAUGGACAACAGGUCGAUAUUCCUGUACUACUGGGUGGUCGUUAUCACGGACGCUGGACCCUGAGGGGUACACACCGCGACGAGACGUGCGUCGUCCAAGCCGGUAGGGAGCGAGGAGUCCAAAUCCUCCUUGCGUUGACCGAGAGGCGAGUGCGAGGGUGUCUGGCAACAGCCGCCCAAGGGUGUGACGCCUGUGCAGGCGAGAAAUGCCAGCUACGGAGACCACUAGUACCCGUACCGCAAUCCGACACAGGUGGGCUGGUCGAGUAGACCAAGGUGGACGAGUGAUCCCUGGUUAAGGAACUCGGCAAUUUACGUCCGUACCUUUGGUAGAAGGACGACUGCUGACCGUGAGGCCCCUCGCGGGUGGAGCGGCUGGCAGUGACACAAACCAGGCCCAGGCGACUGGAUACCAGAACCACAGGUCCGUGCUCAAGCCGUAAGGCGCAGUAUACGGGCUGAUGCCUGCCCAGUGCCGGAAGGUUAAGGGGAGGGGUUUGCGCUCCGAACCGAAGCCCCGGUGAACGGCGGCUGUAACUAUAACAGUCCUAAGGUAGCGAAAUUCCUUGUCGGGUAAGUUCCGACCCGCACGAAAGGCAUCACGAUCUGGGCACUGUCUCAA